This 429-nucleotide ribosomal RNA is filed under the name Bacteroidota bacterium. RNAcentral's name for it is "Bacteroidetes bacterium partial 16S ribosomal RNA". It matches the Rfam family "Bacterial small subunit ribosomal RNA", at positions 355 to 776 of the family's 1533-position model. The record is from RNAcentral. Lineage: Bacteria; Pseudomonadati; Bacteroidota.
UAGGGAAUCUUCCGCAAUGGACGCAAGUCUGACGGAGCAACGCCGCGUGAGUGAAGAAGGAUUUCGGUUCGUAAAACUCUGUUGUUAGAGAAGAACAGCGCAUAGAGUAACUGUUAUGCGUGUGACGGUAUCUAACCAGAAAGCCACGGCUAACUACGUGCCAGCAGCCGCGGUAAUACGUAGGUGGCAAGCGUUAUCCGGAAUUAUUGGGCGUAAAGCGCGCGUAGGCGGUUUUUUAAGUCUGAUGUGAAAGCCCACGGCUCAACCGUGGAGGGUCAUUGGAAACUGGAAAACUUGAGUGCAGAAGAGGAAAGUGGAAUUCCAUGUGUAGCGGUGAAAUGCGCAGAGAUAUGGAGGAACACCAGUGGCGAAGGCGACUUUCUGGUCUGUAACUGACGCUGAUGUGCGAAAGCGUGGGGAUCAAACAGG